GUCUACGGCUGUACCACCCUGAACGUGCCCAAUCUCAUCUGAUCUCAGAAACUAAGCAGGGUCGGGCCUGGUUAGUACUUGGAUGGGGGGAUUUGUAUAGCUUGCAGGAGGCU
RNAcentral lists this ribosomal RNA (113 nucleotides) under Octodon degus (degu). Lineage: Eukaryota; Metazoa; Chordata; Mammalia; Rodentia; Octodontidae. The record is from RNAcentral.